Molecule: long non-coding RNA, 1851 nt
Organism: Triticum dicoccoides
Lineage: Eukaryota; Viridiplantae; Streptophyta; Magnoliopsida; Poales; Poaceae
Exons: 6
Source: RefSeq, a predicted model, not a curated record
CGUGGAUCAGAAAGUUGCAAUUCUUUACCGAGCCACAUAUCAGACAACGACGGAAAAGCUGGGCCGUUUGUCGCCUGUUUCCUCUCAAGAACAGCUUCGUCCCCCUUUCGUCUACGAGUGAGCUGCUCGUGGCAGCGGCGCUAAUUUCGGCCACCCGCGGCCGCGACCAAGGAAAACGGAGGACGCUGGUGUGGAGUUUCUUCUCGACGCCGUCGACAGGUUCCCGCUGCGGGAGGAAUAUGUGGAUAACAUUGAACACCCAGAUCCGGUUCCUCUGGUCUUGUUGCCCGCGAGAGACACCAACUGUGGCGACCCUGAGGACUCAAAUGCUGGGUCUGGCUGCAGGCAAUGGCUCAGCGACGAUGGAGCUGACAAAGCACGAGACGGAGUCCGCCGGUGUUCAGAUUUAUCUCCGACCAUGUCAGCGCAGUCAACUGACAAAGUCAACCCACAAGCCCCAAGUUGGACCAAAAGAUAAAACCUGAAAACUACUUUGAUAAUUGAAGAUUUUUGGCAUCCGGUUGCCGGGAGCCAGGUGGCUUGUUACAUCAAUCACAAAUCGAAGCACUAUGAGCAGCUCAGAGCCUAAUUGCUGCUGGCAAACAGAACCAAGGUGCGGCAGAAGCAAACGAAGAGGACCAGCCUGGACCAGGAACUUCUAAUGGUGCAGGACAUCAAAACGGGAAAACUAUAAUGGAAGAAAUCUCAGAUUCCUUGAGCAGUGACAGUGAUGGCAAUGGCGAUGAUCCAAACGAUUGCAUUAUCAAGGCAUAUCAGAGAGUAGAAGACAGAGGUUUGCCAUGCAAAUUUAGUGGUUUUGCUUCUUGUAAUUGCUGUGCUGACAUUUAACGUUUAUACAAACUUAAUAAAGGUCAACCCCUAGGGCUACAGAGUUCGCAGGGAAGCCUCCGUAUUAGGAAUGACGUGGAAGGUGGCCAUGUCACAGGUUUAUGCUUCAAAAAAUAUCGUAUAGCUGGUGUGGAAAACAUGUUUGUGAGGAGCUGUUGAAAAGCAACAUCUGAUUGAAUAAGUGCACAUGACAGGUUUUGCGCCACGGAGUAUGAUGAGGCUGAGGCAAAGACGGUUGAUGUUUGAACUUCUGUUUUUCUGAUAUCUAGGUUGCUAAUGAAAACAAUACACUCAUUUGUUGAUUGUAGAUGCUGCCUCUCCUGGAGGCCAAGAGCAAGGUGGAGAAACGGGGGAAGCUGGAGACGACGUUGCUAAUGAUGACAUUAAUUGGGAAGAACUGAAGAAUGAAAGCCAGGAAGCACCACCAAUGACAACUCAAGAGCAAAUGGAUACUGAUAAUCAAUUUGCGUGAAACCUUGAUCACUAUGCAAUGGCACAGAGUUGGACGUUGAAUUGAUGAAGAUCACAUAGAUUCGAUGUGGCAUCGAAGGUGCCAACAAAUUACAUGGGAGAGCAAGUUGCAUCGGGGGGAGAGUCCGAUACAAUUGAUGAAGAUCACAUAGAUUCUAUGCUGGCCUCCUUGAACAUGUGCAUUCCCCGGAUUGCGUGGACUAGAGCGAUGUGGUGGUUGGGAGUGGCAGGCCUAGAGACAACGUGGAUGAAGAUCCUUCGUGCAAUGGUGUGAUACUGCUUGGCUGGCAUAGUGAAGACCGUGAAGCACAAGCUGAGUCUAGCAGCGAAGGUGUCUGUGCUAAUCAGAAACGGAAAAUCCUGUCGCCGCUUUGUGGAUGUGGUUACAAACUGUCGGCCUGGACUGUCUUUUCAUUGAGAUGAUGAAGGUAUUCAUCCUUCCUAGGCAGGCAGAAUUGCUGUAACAAUUGCUGUAACUAUGAUCCAGUGCCCAGCUGCUAAACAUUGUAUUAAGCGAAAAAAUUGGCCUCA